GCCGUGCCCGAGCUGGUCCAAGGGGGCAGACUUAAGUUCUGCUGGUCGAAAGACCGCGCAGGUUCGAACCCUGCCGGCG
This 79-nucleotide transfer RNA is filed under the name Chloroparvula sp. RCC696. It matches the Rfam family "tRNA". From Rfam's summary of the family: Transfer RNA (tRNA) molecules are approximately 80 nucleotides in length. Their secondary structure includes four short double-helical elements and three loops (D, anti-codon, and T loops). Lineage: Eukaryota; Viridiplantae; Chlorophyta; Chloropicophyceae; Chloropicales; Chloropicaceae. The record is from RNAcentral.